CAGUAGCCGCGGUAAUACGGAGGGCGCGAGCGUUACCCGGAUUUACUGGGCGUAAAGGGCGUGUAGGCGGCCUGGGGCGUCCCAUGUGAAAGGCCACGGCUCAACCGUGGAGGAGCGUGGGAUACGCUCAGGCUAGAGGGUGGGAGAGGGUGGUGGAAUUCCCGGAGUAGCGGUGAAAUGCGCAGAUACCGGGAGGAACGCCGAUGGCGAAGGCAGCCACCUGGUCCACUUCUGACGCUGAGGCGCGAAAGCGUGGGGGGCAGACCGGAUUAGAUACCCCUGUAGUCCCUGUCUCUUAUAC
Molecule: ribosomal RNA, 301 nt
Filed under: uncultured bacterium
Lineage: Bacteria
Description: partial 16S ribosomal RNA
Rfam family: Bacterial small subunit ribosomal RNA
Source: RNAcentral